This is a long non-coding RNA of Culex pipiens pallens (northern house mosquito), 742 nucleotides long. RefSeq lists it as uncharacterized. The record is from RefSeq and is a predicted model, not a curated record. NCBI's taxonomy places the organism in Eukaryota, Metazoa, Arthropoda, Insecta, Diptera, Culicidae. The transcript has 4 exons.
GAAAACUAAUCAGAUAAAUUUGAUUGACCGUGUACAAUUCUACCAUUUCUCUUGCAGCGUGCACAUUUUGUUUUGAUUCCUUUCGUCUUCUUCUUUUGCAUUAUUUAGUGCGCCGCCUGCUGCGAUUUUUGGCGAGUGAAUAAAAUAUGAUUUUGUUGGAGUGAUAUCAACAGUUCUAGAUAGUCCAGAUUAGAUAAAGACCCGGCACCGGCGUUUUGGAGAUUUCCGGAAGACGAAGUUCGAUGGCCUGAUGCUAUUCGGAUGAAGCCUUCAAACGACGAGUUAAUUGGCCAAAGAUUUUCCUGCAGUAAGUGAAUCGACCUGAUGCGGUCUCCAGCGCCACCGCUAACAUGCCGCGCAACACCUGAAAAACGCAGUCCAAGAUUGUGCCCUGCAACCUGGCGUUCUGGCGAAACGAAACCUAUCCCGUUCUGUUUCCUAUCGAGAGUCGUCAUCGACGGAACGCUUGGCUUGGCCUGGAUGGACACGAACAUGCGUAACGUGAUUUCCACACGUGGGUGAUUUCGCACGAGGAGCAAAAUCGAUCAUACAGGCACAUAGUGAAAAUAUUGGCCUCGCUUUGGCGGAGUCCGGAAUCACCACCAACAGUCUGCCUUUGUUCAAUACCUGCUCCUGCGGACUCUGAAAAGAUCCAGGCCGUAUUCCGCCGCCUGAACGCCAUCUACCGCUAGGGUACCUGAUACCGCUGCUGAGUGCUGAUCGUCGACCUGCAGGUGCAACA